AAUAAGUGCAGUUUUGCACUAUUCACGUUCAACAUUUGACCGUCCGUCUUAUUUGAAAAAUUUGUGAAAAAUUAAAAACAUUUAGUCGCACAUAAAGUACUAUUCAUGUUUUAUCAUCUAAUAGCAAUAAAAAUACUAAUCAUAAAAAAUCUUCAAAUAAGACAGACGGUCAAACGUUGAACAUGAAUAGUGCAAAACUGCACUUAUU
MicroRNA precursor from Oryza sativa Japonica Group (Japanese rice), 208 nucleotides. It matches the Rfam family "MIR812 microRNA precursor family". Lineage: Eukaryota; Viridiplantae; Streptophyta; Magnoliopsida; Poales; Poaceae. The record is from Rfam.